RNAcentral lists this ribosomal RNA (425 nucleotides) under uncultured bacterium. Its description in RNAcentral is "partial 16S ribosomal RNA". It matches the Rfam family "Bacterial small subunit ribosomal RNA", at positions 354 to 796 of the family's 1533-position model. The record is from RNAcentral.
GUGGGGAAUCUUGCGCAAUGGGCGAAAGCCUGACGCAGCCAUGCCGCGUGAAUGAUGAAGGUCUUAGGAUUGUAAAAUUCUUUCACCGGGGACGAUAAUGACGGUACCCGGAGAAGAAGCCCCGGCUAACUUCGUGCCAGCAGCCGCGGUAAUACGAAGGGGGCUAGCGUGGCUCGGAAUUACUGGGCGUAAAGGGCGCGUAGGCGGACAGUUUAGUCAGAGGUGAAAGCCCAGGGCUCAACCUUGGAAUUGCCUUUGAUACUGGCUAUCUGGAGUAUGGAAGAGGUAUGUGGAACUCCGAGUGUAGAGGUGAAAUUCGUAGAUAUUCGGAAGACCGCCAGUGGCGAAGGCGACAUACUGGUCCAUUACUGACGCUGAGGCUCGAAAGCGUGGGGAGCAAACAGGAUUAGAAACCCUGGUAGUCC